GCCUCGGCCUCCCAAAGUGCUGGGAUUACAGGCGUGAGCCACCAUGCCCAGCCCAUUGUUGCAAUUUUAACCUCUUUUCUCCUGUCCCCGAAGCUUACCCCUCAGUUUCUUUUUUUGUUUCUUUUUUUUUUUUUUUUUUUGAGAUGGACUUUUGCUCUGUCGCCCAGGCUGGAGUGCAAUGGCAUGAUCUCGGCUCACUGCAACCUCCACCUCCUGGGUUUAAGCGAUUCUCCUGCCUCAGCCUCCCGAGUAGCUGGGAUUACAGGUGCACGCCACCACACCCAGCUAAUUUUUGUAUUUUUAGUAGAGACGGGGUUUCACCAUAUUGGCCAGGAUGGUCUCGAUCUCUUCACCUUGUGAUCUGCCCACCUUGGCCUCCCAAACUGCUGGGAUUACAGACAUGAGCCACUGUGCCUGGCCAUCCCUCACUUUCUUUUCCUGCUCUUUUUUGCUGCUAAGAUAUAGAAGGUAGAGCCAUUGGGGCUUAAGGAGAUGGGCUUUAUGAGUCAACUUGCCCAAAUUCAAAUCCCAGACUUAACACUGGCUGUGUGGCAUUGAGGAAGUGCCUCAAGUUCUCUGUGCCUCAGCUUCCUCAUCUGUAGACUGGGAAUGAUACUGUUAGGUUGGUGCCAAAGUAAUUGCAGUUUUUGGUCAGGCACGGUGGCUCACGCCUGUAAUCCCAGCACUUUGAGAGGCCGAGGUGGUGAAUCACAAGGUCAGGAGUUCAAGACCAGCCAGACCAACAUGGUGAAAUCCCGUCUCUACUAAAAAUACAAAAAUGAGCCCAGCGUGGUGGCACGUGCCUAUAAUCCCAGCUACUUGGGAGGCUGAGGCAGGAGAAUCGCUUGAGCCCUGGAGGCGGAGGUUGUAGGGAGCCAAGCUCAUGCCACUGCACUCCAGGCUGGGCAACAGAGUGAGACUCCAUCUCAAAAAAAUAAAUAAAUAAUUAUUAUUUGGUAGAGAUGGGGUUUUCCCAUGUUGGCCAGGCUGGUCUCAAACUCCUGGCCUCAAGUCAUCUGAACGCCUUGGCCUAGUUUUGGUAUUUUUAUUAGAGACGAGGUUUCACCAUGUUGGCCAGGCUGGUCGCGAACUCCUGACCUCAAGUGAUCUGCCCGCCUUGGCCUCUUAAAAUUUUUACUUUUUUUUAGUGAUGAGGUCUGCCUCUGUUGCCCAGGCUGGAGUGCAGUGGUGUCAUCAGCUCACUGGAGGCUCAGCCUCCCUGGGCUCAAGUGAUCCUCCCUCCUCAGCCUUCUGAGUAGCUGGGACUAGGGGUGCGCUCCACACACACAGCUAAUUUUGAAAUUUUUUGUAAAGAUGGGAUCUCUCUAGGUUGCCCAGGCUGAUCUCAAACUCCUGGGCUCUAGCGAUCCUCCUGCUUCAGCCUCCCAAAGUGCUAAAAUUACAACUAUGAGCCACCCUGCUCGGUUUUGUUUUUUUACAUUGUUUAGUGGUAGAAAGAAGUCAAAAGAAUACUUUGUGACACGUGAAAAGUACAUGUGAUUCACAUUUCAGUGUGUGUAAAGUUUGAUUGGCACACAGCCACGUUUAUUCAUGACCAUGCCGUCUAUGGCAGCUUUUGUGCACUAGGGCACAGCCAAGCAGGUGCAAUGGGGAUGAUAUGUCCUGCAAAGAUGAAAAUAUUUACUCUCUGGCUCUUUACAGAAAAAGUUUGCCCACCCCUGAGUUAAUGUAUCAUGAGCACUUUGAACAAUGCUGGGCACAAAAUGUGCUUGGGAUUGUUAUUCAAAAUGUGUUUCAGGUCGGGCGUGGUGGUUCACGCCUGUAAUCCCAGCACUUUGGGAGACUGAAGAGGGCAGAUCACCUGAGGUCAGGAGUUCAAGACCAGCCUGGCUGACACGGUGAAACCCAUUUUAAUCUCUACUAAAAAUACAAAAAUUAGCCAGGUGUGGUGGUGCGUGCCUGUAAUCCCAGCUACUCAGGAGGCUGAGGCAGGAGAAUCACUUGAACCCAUGAGGCAGAGGUUGCAGUGAGCCGAGAUCGUGCCGCUGCACUCCAGCCUGGGCGACAGAGCGAAACUCCAUCUCAAAAAAAAAAAAAAAAUGUGUUUCAGGCUGGGCGAGGUGGCUCAUGACUGUAAACCCAACACUUUGGGAAGCCAAGAUGAGAGGAUCGUUUGAGCCCUGGAGUUCAAGACCACCUUGGGCCACAGAGCAGAUACCACCUCCACAAAAAAAUUUUAAAAAAUUAGCCAGUUGUGGUGGUGCACUCCUGUGUAGCCCCAGCUGCUCAGGAGGCUGAGGUAGGAGAUCCCUUGAGCCCAGGAGGACAAGGCUGCAGUGAACUAUUAUUGCACCACUGCACUCCAGCCUGGGUGACAGAGCAAGACCCUGUGUCAAAAAAGAAAUGUACAAAGGUUAAAAAAAUAUAUAUGGUUGGCCGGGCGCGGUGGCUCACGCCUAUAAUCCCAACACUUUGGGAGGCCGAGGCAGGCGGAUAAUGAGAUCAGGAGAUCGAGACCAUCCUGGCUAACACGGUGAAACCCCAUUUCUACUAAAAAUACAAAAACAAAAUUAGCCAGGCGUGGUGGCGGGCGCCUGUAGUCUCAGCUACUUGGGAGGCUGAGUCAGGAGAAUGGUGUGAACCCAGGAGGCGGAGCUUGCAGUGAGCCGAGAUCGUGCCACUGCACUCCAGCCUGGGCUACAGAGCUAGACUCUGUCUCCAAAAAAAAAAAAAUAUAUAUGGUUCACACAAAAAUUAUAUCCUAUGUUGUUCUCUAUAAACAUCCCAUCAUAUUAUGUCUCCCAGACCACUGACAAUUUUUGGAAGCCUCACUCUGCCAUCUCGUGAAAUGUCCUCCACAGUCCCCUACUGUUGGACACUUAAGCUGUUCCCAGUUGCUAAGACGGAGCUGCAGGGACAGCCUCGCGUUUUAAGCUAGAUUUGCUUUUAUGUAACAAUUACUUCUACAUCAUUCACUAUGUGUUAAGUCCUAUCUCUGGGCACUUUGCAAAUAUCAACUUAUUUCAUGCUCACUCCAACUCCCAUAAACUCCCCAUUUUGCAGAUGGGAAAACGGAGGUUCUGUAGGUUGAAGUGACUUGCCCAGGGUCACACUACCAGGAUAUGAACUCAGGCUGGACAGGUCCUGUCAGUGCCCUGAGACGCCCUUUUCCUUCCCUACGGUAGAGACCCAGGAGCUAAAUCACUCUGUCAAAGGGGAACAAAAAUUCUUGCCAGACAUGGUGGCUCACACCUGUCAUCCCAGCACUUUGGGAGGCCAAGACGGGUGAGUUAUGUGAGCCCAGGAGUUUGAGACCAGACUGGGCAACAUGGUGAAACCCCAUCUCUACUAAAAAUACAAAUAUUAGCUGGGCAUGGUGGUACAUGCCUGUAGUCCCAGCUGCUCAGGAGGCUGAGGUGGGAGGACUGCUUGAGCCCAGGAGUUGGAGGCUGCGGUGAGCCAUGAUGAGGCCACUGCACUGUGGCCUGGGCAACACAGUGAGACCCUGUAGAAAAAGGAAAGAAAGGAAAGAAAAGAAAGGGAAGGAAAAGAAAGAAAGCAAAUGACCAUGCAAUGAAUUUUACAGAAAUGCACUUGGUAGGGGACCCAUCCCAUUCCUCAGCCUUUGACCAAGAAACAUAUGUUUUUAUUUUAUUUUAAUUAAUUAGUUAAUUAAUUUUUUGAGACAGAGUUUUGCCUCGUCGCCCAGGCUAGAGCGCAAUGGCAUGAUCUCGGCUCACUGAAACCUCUGCCUCCCAGGUUCAAGCGAUUCUCCUGUCUCAGCCCCCUGAGUAGCUGGGAUUACAGGCAUGUGCCACCACCCCCGGCUAAUUUUUGCCUUGUUAGUAGACACAGGGUUUCAUCAUGUCUGCCAGGCUGGUCUCGAACUCCUGACCUCAGGUGAUCUGCCUGCCUCAGCCUCCCAAAGUGCUGGGAUUACAGGCGUGAGCCACCACACCCAGCCUAUUUUAUUUAUUUUUGAGACAGGGUCUCACUCUGUUGCCCAGCCUAGAGUGCAACGGCACGAUCAUAGCUCGCUGCAACCUCUGCCUUCAGGGCUCAAGCCAUCCUCCCACUUCAGCCUCUGGAGUAGCUGGGACCACAGGUGUGCACCACCAUGCCCAGCUAAAUGUUUGUAUUUUGUGUAUAGACGUGGUCUUGUGUCUUGUCAUGUUACCCCAGCUGGUCUUGAACUCCUGGCCUCAAGCAAUCCUCAUGCCU
This 4182-nucleotide long non-coding RNA is filed under the name Homo sapiens (human). Its description in RNAcentral is "HSALNT0395678". The record is from RNAcentral. Lineage: Eukaryota; Metazoa; Chordata; Mammalia; Primates; Hominidae.